GAUGAACGCUGGCGGCGUGCCUAAUACAUGCAAGUCGAGCGAACAGAUGAGGAGCUUGCUCCUCUGACGUUAGCGGCGGACGGGUGAGUAACACGUGGAUAACCUACCUAUAAGACUGGGAUAACUUCGGGAAACCGGAGCUAAUACCGGAUAAUAUAUUGAACCGCAUGGUUCAAUAGUGAAAGACGGUUUUGCUGUCACUUAUAGAUGGAUCCGCGCCGCAUUAGCUAGUUGGUAAAGUAACGGCUUACCAAGGCAACGAUGCGUAGCCGACCUGAGAGGGUGAUCGGCCACACUGGAACUGAGACACGGUCCAGACUCCUACGGGAGGCAGAGUAGGGAAUCUUCCGCAAUGGGCGAAAGCCUGACGGAGCAACGCCGCGUGAGUGAUGAAGGUCUUCGGAUCGUAAAACUCUGUUAUUAGGGAAGAACAAAUGUGUAAGUAACUAUGCACGUCUUGACGGUACCUAAUCAGAAAGCCACGGCUAACUACGUG
This 496-nucleotide ribosomal RNA is filed under the name uncultured bacterium. RNAcentral describes it as "partial 16S ribosomal RNA". It matches the Rfam family "Bacterial small subunit ribosomal RNA", at positions 28 to 507 of the family's 1533-position model. The record is from RNAcentral.